CUGACUGUCAGUGCAUGGUCGGUUCAGACAGGGAAGCGGAUUCCAGGGGACCAGGGCUGUAGCUAUUACCAACAGCUGUCAGAGCUGGAAAUGUGGAACCAUCUCUGAGCCAACCUCCAUCCACUCAUACAUGAAAUCCGAAGGGGAGAGAACAUUCCCUCUCUGGAAAGAGUUCUGACAGUACACUGGGGAUGUCUGAGGGAUACCAACAGGAGGUCAGAUGGUCCCACCUGUGGAAGGAGCCACACAGAGGCUGAAACCAUGUAGCACCAAAUGAAGAUCACAUCUGCAACACCUCAACCCAGCACCGUAGACACAGGAGGAAUGAAGGACCCCAGAGGCUGUGUCACCUGGUCCUAUCUCCAAAUACAGUCACAUUUUGGGACCACAGAUUAUGAACAUAGGAACUUUUUGACACUGGAGACUGUGGAGGG
Cercocebus atys (sooty mangabey) is the source of this 434-nucleotide long non-coding RNA. RefSeq lists it as uncharacterized. The record is from RefSeq and is a predicted model, not a curated record. The transcript is spliced from 3 exons. Lineage: Eukaryota; Metazoa; Chordata; Mammalia; Primates; Cercopithecidae.